UGAGGGGAUAGCCUUUCGAAAGGAAGAUUAAUACCGCAUAAGAUUGUAGUAUCGCAUGAUAUAGCAAUUAAAGGAGCAAUUCGCUAUAAGAUGGACCCGCGUCGCAUUAGCUAGUUGGUGAGGUAAUGGCUCACCAAGGCGACGAUGCGUAGCCGACCUGAGAGGGUGAUCGGCCACAUUGGGACUGAGACACGGCCCAGACUCCUACGGGAGGCAGCAUG
Molecule: ribosomal RNA, 221 nt
Filed under: uncultured bacterium
Lineage: Bacteria
Description: partial 16S ribosomal RNA
Rfam family: Bacterial small subunit ribosomal RNA
Source: RNAcentral